Molecule: long non-coding RNA, 703 nt
Organism: Daucus carota subsp. sativus
Lineage: Eukaryota; Viridiplantae; Streptophyta; Magnoliopsida; Apiales; Apiaceae
Exons: 2
Source: RefSeq, a predicted model, not a curated record
CAGAAUAAAAAAAUUACACUCUGAUCUCUCUGGAUCCCAGACCUUGCCUUGUUGCCGGCCUCUCUGAGUCUGACUCUAAAUAAUGCAUCAGUCCGUGCCAUGAUGGCGUAGCAUCGAUUCUGCACAUCGGACAACUAGUAUGUGAAUGGAACCACAUGUCUAUACAACUUACAUGAAAAGAGUGUGAACAUUCAGGCAAGGACUUCUUAAACUUGUGUAUGGGGAUGAGCUCUGCAAUUGAAUUCUCAAAGCUCUGUUGCUCCUCUUGCCCAAGAUGAUGUUGCUGCGGUGUUUCAUUGUGGUGGUAUCGCGUGGUCCAGCCAACACGGAUGCAAUGGUACAAUGCAAUAACGAGGGCCAUGCAGGCUGCAGCGACCAAGACGAUGACUAAUUUUGGUAUGAGGGAAUUAGAGUUGUCUUGUGCCAUGGUAGAGGAAUGGUUGGAAAUGAGUGCAUAUCAAAUAGUCAUUGUUGGGUUGAUAAUUAUUAUGUAGUGUUUGUCUUACUAUGUAAAGCCUCUGUAUGCUUUCAUAGUUUUAAUAUGUCUGCUCUUUCACAAAAUGACGACAACAAUUUUGGCGAUUCCGCUUGGAAUUUAGUCUGUACAGGAAGUCAAUUUUCAAUUCCAGAGCGGGAAUUUGAAUUUUAUGAAGUAAUUAACAGAUGUGUCGAAAUAUUCUUUAUUUUACAUAUUAGCUUUCCA